GUGCUUAACACAUGCAAGUCGAACGGAAAGGCCCUGCUUUUGUGGGGUGCUCGAGUGGCGAACGGGUGAGUAACACGUGAGUAACCUGCCCUUGACUUUGGGAUAACUUCAGGAAACUGGGGCUAAUACCGGAUAGGAGCUCCUGCUGCAUGGUGGGGGUUGGAAAGUUUCGGCGGUUGGGGAUGGACUCGCGGCUUAUCAGCUUGUUGGUGGGGUAGUGGCUUACCAAGGCUUUGACGGGUAGCCGGCCUGAGAGGGUGACCGGCCACAUUGGGACUGAGAUACGGCCCAGACUCCUACGGGAGGCAGCAGUGGGGAAUAUUGCACAAUGGGCGGAAGCCUGAUGCAGCAACGCCGCGUGCGGGAUGACGGCCUUCGGGUUGUAAACCGCUUUCGCCUGUGACGAAGCGUGAGUGACGGUAAUGGGUAAAGAAGCACCGGCUAACUACGUGCCAGCAGCCGCGGUGAUACGUAGGGUGCGAGCGUUGUCCGGAUUUAUUGGGCGUAAAGGGCUCGUAGGUGGUUGAUCGCGUCGGAAGUGUAAUCUUGGGGCUUAACCCUGAGCGUGCUUUCGAUACGGGUUGACUUGAGGAAGGUAGGGGAGAAUGGAAUUCCUGGUGGAGCGGUGGAAUGCGCAGAUAUCAGGAGGAACACCAGUGGCGAAGGCGGUUCUCUGGGCCUUUCCUGACGCUGAGGAGCGAAAGCGUGGGGAGCGAACAGGCUUAGAUACCCUGGUAGUCCACGCUGUAAACGGUGGGUACUAGGUGUGGGGUCCAUUCCACGGGUUCCGUGCCGUAGCUAACGCUUUAAGUACCCCGCCUGGGGAGUACGGCCGCAAGGCUAAAACUCAAAGGAAUUGACGGGGCCCCGCACAAGCGGCGGAGCAUGCGGAUUAAUUCGAUGCAACGCGUAGAACCUUACCUGGGUUUGACAUGGAUCGGGAGUGCUCAGAGAUGGGUGUGCCUCUUUUGGGGUCGGUUCACAGGUGGUGCAUGGCUGUCGUCAGCUCGUGUCGUGAGAUGUUGGGUUAAGUCCCGCAACGAGCGCAACCCUUGUUCACUGUUGCCAGCACGUUAUGGUGGGGACUCAGUGGAGACCGCCGGGGUCAACUCGGAGGAAGGUGGGGAUGACGUCAAGUCAUCAUGCCCCUUAUGUCCAGGGCUUCACGCAUGCUACAAUGGCUGGUACAGAGAGUGGCGAGCCUGUGAGGGUGAGCGAAUCUCGGAAAGCCGGUCUCAGUUCGGAUUGGGGUCUGCAACUCGACCUCAUGAAGUCGGAGUCGCUAGUAAUCGCAGAUCAGCAACGCUGCGGUGAAUACGUUCCCGGGGCUUGUACACACCGCCCGUCAAGUCAUGAAAGUUGGUAACACCCGAAGCCGGCGGCCUAACCGUUGUGGGGGAGCCGUCGAAGGUGGGACUGGUGAUUAGGACUAAGUCAUA
Molecule: ribosomal RNA, 1439 nt
Filed under: uncultured organism
Description: partial small subunit ribosomal RNA
Rfam family: Bacterial small subunit ribosomal RNA
Source: RNAcentral